Molecule: non-coding RNA, 29 nt
Filed under: Mus musculus (house mouse)
Lineage: Eukaryota; Metazoa; Chordata; Mammalia; Rodentia; Muridae
Source: RNAcentral
UGUGAAGAAUGAGAUAGACUCUCGGAGGC